Long non-coding RNA from Misgurnus anguillicaudatus (oriental weatherfish), 1405 nucleotides. RefSeq lists it as uncharacterized. NCBI's taxonomy places the organism in Eukaryota, Metazoa, Chordata, Actinopteri, Cypriniformes, Cobitidae. The record is from RefSeq and is a predicted model, not a curated record.
CAUCACCAGCAUCAUCAUCAUAAUCGAUAUAAUCGAUGAUGGGUUGGAGAGUUUGCCACCUGUUGUAAUUGUUUAAGGCGGCACGGGUCUAGAAACAGCAGAGCGCGUUUUUUUUUUUUAGAUAAAAACGUGAAAAACAUUUUUUUUGUUAGACCUGAGGGGCAAAAAUAGAGAGCAAAGGAGACAUUGUGGAUUACAGACAUGCUGCAGGUUGCAAUGCAUCGGUACAUUUCACGCGUUUCAUGUGCAAUGCACGAGGACAAUGAUGGCGAUUUCCUUUUGCAUGGAGUCAUUCAAGAGAUCAAGACCUAUAUUUCGGAUCCAAAGCCUUUUCUGAGGGUUGGUUUCUGUCUUUGGUUAUCUAGCUGUAUGAGUUAUAACACAUUUCAUAAAGCUAGAUAACCGAAAGUAGAAAUAAUCCUUAAAAAACUGUUCAAGUUGUCAAUCAAAAACUGCAAACUGCGGAAAGCGCGCCAUCAUUUACCUCAGAGUGAUUUUUCAUCCGCAAAAAGGCACAGUAAAGUAACAACAAGGGCAUCCGUGUGAAAGAGCCAGACAUGCUUGGAGGAAAUGUGGCAGCUUCCAUUCGCUACAUCUUUCCUUUUUCGCCUACCCAGAAACCCAGUGUACCAUCUGUGCCCCUGUGGGGCUCGGGAGAACCCAUGCCAGUGCCAGCGGGGACGCAAUCCUUGUCAGCAUCCUGGCGCCAAGAUGGACUGCUUAGAAAGAAAGGGAGGCCAUCUUGACAGAGAUCUUUCAUGAGAAGCUAAGAUGGCUGGGCUGACACAUGAGAAUGGACAGUGGACUGACCUAUGCGGAGACACACUUACCUCGUGGGAUAAAAUAAAUGAAAAUCAGCUGUAAUUAGAUGGCAUGAAAGAACAAUGGAAAAAUCCCAGGCACCUGAAUCUAAGCUGAAACAUAUUAAAUUGUGUGUGUGUGUGUGUGUGUGUGUGUGUGUGUGUGUGUGUGUGUGUGUGUGUGUGUGUGUGUGUGUGUGUGUGUGUGUGUGUGUGUGUGUGUGUGUGUGUGUGUGUGUGUGUGUGUGUGUGUGUGUGUGUGUGUGUGUGUGUGUGUGUGUGAGAGAGUUUUUAAUUUCAUGCAAAAGAAAAUUAAAUUAUUUUUCUGUUUAGAUCAUGUGAACUGUGUUUUUACAGUAGACAUCAAUUUUCAAUACACUGCUGUACAGGGGGUUAGAUAUAAAAAGUAUUUUACUGUAUUCAUUUCACUACAGUGUUUUAUUUUAGCUGUGAAUUAUUUGUACUAUUUAUUCAAAUGCAUUUUUUUGUUUUUUUUCUACAAUUUUUAUCCCUUUACAAUUUAUGUAUAUAUAAAUAAAUAUAUUAUCUUAUAUAUUUUUGUACUGGUGAUUUUAAUUCUGUGAGUUGUAAAUAAAAAUAAUAAC